RNAcentral lists this ribosomal RNA (892 nucleotides) under uncultured Actinomycetes bacterium. RNAcentral's name for it is "bacterial SSU rRNA". It matches the Rfam family "Bacterial small subunit ribosomal RNA", at positions 37 to 916 of the family's 1533-position model. The record is from RNAcentral. Lineage: Bacteria; Bacillati; Actinomycetota; Actinomycetes.
UGGCGGCAUGCUACACAUGCAAGUCGAGCGCGAAAGGGACCUUCGGGUCCCCUGAGAGCGGCGAACGGGUGAGUAACACGUGGGCAACCUGCCUCAAGGACUGGGAUAACUCCGGGAAACCGGGGCUAAUACCGGGCGAUGUCGUCUGGCGCAAGCCGGCCGACCAAAUGGUAGCUUCGGCCUCCGCCUUGAGAUGGGCCCGCGUCCUAUCAGCUUGUUGGUGAGGUAACGGCUCACCAAGGCUACGACGGGUAGCUGGUCUGAGAGGAUGAUCAGCCACACUGGGACUGAGAUACGGCCCAGACUCCUACGGGAGGCAGCAGUGGGGAAUUUUGCGCAAUGGGCGAAAGCCUGACGCAGCAACGCCGCGUGAGCGAAGAAGGCCUUCGGGUUGUAAAGCUCUGUCAGGGGGAAAGAAGGCACCUGGGUUAAUAGCCCAAGGGCUGACGGUACCCCCAAAGGAAGCCACGGCUAACUACGUGCCAGCAGCCGCGGUAAUACGUAGGUGGCGAGCGUUGUCCGGAAUCAUUGGGCGUAAAGAGCGCGUAGGUGGCUUGCCAGGUCUGAUGUGAAAUCCUGGGGCUCAACCCCAGAACUGCAUCGGAAACCGGCUUGCUAGAGUCUGGGAGAGGAGAGUGGAAUUCCUGGUGUAGCGGUGAAAUGCGUAGAUAUCAGGAGGAACACCGGUAGCGAAGGCGGCUCUCUGGAACGGUACUGACGCUGAGGCGCGAAAGCUAGGGGAGCGAACAGGAUUAGAUACCCUGGUAGUCCUAGCCGUAAACGAUGGACACUAGGUGUCGGGGGUGUCGACUCCCUCGGUGCCGAAGCUAACGCAUUAAGUGUCCCGCCUGGGGAGUACGGCCGCAAGGCUAAAACUCAAAGGAAUUGACGG